This 794-nucleotide long non-coding RNA is filed under the name Gallus gallus (chicken). The record is from RNAcentral. Lineage: Eukaryota; Metazoa; Chordata; Aves; Galliformes; Phasianidae.
GGCGCCGCGGCGCUGCCGUCGGGGCGGUGCCGUCGGGGCGCUCACUGCGUGCCGGCGGCCGCGGCGCAGGACAGGGCCCAGCCGGGCAGGCAGUAGUAGGGGUAGUAGUAGGAGGGCUGCAGGGCGAGCAGCGAGGGCGGCCGCAGCACCUCGCCGGGCUGGUACUGUCUCUGGUCGUCGCGCACCAGCACCUUGACGGCCACCUUCUUGGCGGCGGGGGCGGCGGCCAGCAGGUCGGCUGCCAUCUGCCGCCGCUUGGUUUUGUAGCGGCGGUUCUGGAACCAGAUCUUCACCUGCGUCUCGGUCAGCUUGAGGGAGGCGGCCAGGUCGGCGCGCUCCGGCCCCGACAGGUAGCGCUGGUGGUUGAAGCGCCGCUCCAGCUCGAACACCUGCGCGUGGGAGAAGGCGGCGCGGGAGCGCUUCUUGCGCGGCUUCGGCGCCGCCGCCUCCUCCUCGGCCGCCAGCAGCCUCCCGCCCGCCGCCUCCUCCUCCUCGGCCGGGCCGCGACCUGAGGCGGCGGCCGACGCUUCGCUGUCGCUGCGCGCUCCGUCCCGGUCCCGGUCCCGCUCCGCCGCCGCCUCCGAGGACCGCGCCUCCGCCGCCGGCCGCCCCUGCCCGCCGCCUCGGGGGGGCGGGCGCUGCCCCCGGCGCUCUCCUCCUCGGAGCGCCGCUCGCUCUCGGGCUCCUCGCUCAGCGCCGAGUCCGAGUCCCAGGCGGGCGGCGGGCGCGGGGCGGGCGGCGGCGGGGCCUCGGCGCGGGCAGCGCACAGCCGCCAGCCGCGGGCGCGCUCCUCC